RNAcentral lists this ribosomal RNA (580 nucleotides) under uncultured Burkholderiales bacterium. RNAcentral describes it as "bacterial SSU rRNA". It matches the Rfam family "Bacterial small subunit ribosomal RNA", at positions 337 to 916 of the family's 1533-position model. Lineage: Bacteria; Pseudomonadati; Pseudomonadota; Betaproteobacteria; Burkholderiales. The record is from RNAcentral.
UCCUACGGGGAAGCAGCAGUGAGGAAUAUUGGUCAAUGGGCGCAAGCCUGAACCAGCCAUCCCGCGUGAAGGAUGAAUGCCUUAUGGGUUGUAAACUUCUUUUGUACCUGAAGAAACUCUGGGUCGUGACCUGGACUGCCGGUAGGGUACGAAUAAGCAUCGGCUAACUCCGUGCCAGCAGCCGCGGUAAUACGGAGGAUGCAAGCGUUAUCCGGAUUUAUUGGGUUUAAAGGGUGCGCAGGUGGUUGAAUAAGUCAGUGGUGAAAGUCUGCCGCUUAACGGUAGGAUUGCCAUUGAUACUGUUUGACUUGAGUUUAGGUGAGGUAGGCGGAAUGUGUAGUGUAGCGGUGAAAUGCAUAGAUAUUACACAGAACACCGAUUGCGAAGGCAGCUUACUAAUCUACAACUGACACUGAGGCACGAAAGCGUGGGGAUCAAACAGGAUUAGAUACCCUGGUAGUCCACGCUGUAAACGAUGAUCACUCGCUGUUUGCGAUAUACAGUAAGCGGCUAAGCGAAAGCGAUAAGUGAUCCACCUGGGGAGUACGAUCGCAAGGUUGAAACUCAAAGGAAUUGACGG